This 73-nucleotide transfer RNA is filed under the name Albula glossodonta (roundjaw bonefish). It matches the Rfam family "tRNA". From Rfam's summary of the family: Transfer RNA (tRNA) molecules are approximately 80 nucleotides in length. The record is from Rfam by way of RNAcentral. Lineage: Eukaryota; Metazoa; Chordata; Actinopteri; Albuliformes; Albulidae.
GUUUCUGUAGUGUAGUGGUUAUCACGUUCGCCUCACACGCGAAAGGUCCCCAGUUCGAAACUGGGCGGGAACA